This 460-nucleotide ribosomal RNA is filed under the name uncultured bacterium. Its description in RNAcentral is "partial 16S ribosomal RNA". It matches the Rfam family "Bacterial small subunit ribosomal RNA", at positions 338 to 795 of the family's 1533-position model. The record is from RNAcentral.
CCUACGGGCGGCAGCAGUGAGGAAUAUUGGUCAAUGGCCGGAAGGCUGAACCAGCCAUGCCGCGUGAAGGUCAGUGCCCUAUGGGCGUUAAACUUCUUUUGUGCGGGAGCAAUAAUGGUCACGUGUGGCCAGACGAGAGUACCGUACGAAUAAGCAUCGGCUAACUCCGUGCCAGGAGCCGCGGUAAUACGGGGGAGGCAAGCGUUAUCCGGAUUUAUUGGGUGUAAAGGGUGCGUAGGCUGUGAAGUAAGUCAGCGGUGAAAUGCCCCCGCUCAAAGGGGUGAAGUGCCAUUGAUACUGGCUUGAUGGAAUGCGGAUGCCGUGGGAGGAAUGUGUGGUGUAGCGGUGAAAUGCAUAGAUAUCACACAGAACACCGAUUGCGAAGGCAUCUCACGAAUCCGCGAUUGACGCUGAUGCACGAAAGCGUGGGUAUCAAACAGGAUUAGAUACCCGAGUAGUC